CGAGACUAAGUUUUAGUUGAAUCACACAAAGUAAUUUAAUUUUUUUUAUUUUUAUGAAGCCCACAAAGAAAUGAAAUUUCUAUUCAAAGUUUCUAGGUAUUCCAAAUUUUAUUAAAAAGUAAAAAAUUAGGAAACUGUUUUUUGAAUUUCGUAAACAAUCCUAGAAGUUGUCGAAGAGUUUUGAUUUUCAAAACAUGUUCAAAACAGAAAGCCUAGCAACAGAAUACAUAACACAAUAAAAAAAUGCCCCGAUUUGGUUCAGCUAGAAAAGUAGAUUAAAAAUUAAGUUAAAAUUUACAAUUAAUUUUAAUCUACAUCUUUUAUAGGAGUCAUAACUCUUCAACCACAUUUUAUCAAAAUUUAUUAAAAUCUAUUAAAAAUCUAAUUUUGCCUAAACCAAUUCAAUUGGGGGCAACAUAUUUAACUUGCGUAGCAUGUUGAUCAAAAUCAUGAUCAUCAACAAAAGGAGAUAACAAGGACGUUAACAAAAGCAGACGUAUAUAUGGGUACUUGCACUAACCUUGGCCAGCCGAUCAAGACCAUUCGAACCAUGUGAAUUUUGCACAAGAUUUUCAGGUUGCAAAACCGUCGUUGGAGCCGGAGGCAGAGUUGGCUGUGGAGGUGGCGCCGCUAGCGGAGGCUGUGGCAAUUCUUGCGGCUGAGAUGAUUCUAAAAACAUCAACGUCGGGCCAUGACAAGUUUGAGGUGAUGAUAGAAGAGGAGGAGGAGGAGGAG
RNAcentral lists this long non-coding RNA (735 nucleotides) under Olea europaea (common olive). RNAcentral's name for it is "long non-coding RNA (OEUR_LNC013358)". Lineage: Eukaryota; Viridiplantae; Streptophyta; Magnoliopsida; Lamiales; Oleaceae. The record is from RNAcentral.